Molecule: long non-coding RNA, 511 nt
Filed under: Ananas comosus (pineapple)
Lineage: Eukaryota; Viridiplantae; Streptophyta; Magnoliopsida; Poales; Bromeliaceae
Description: long non-coding RNA (ACOM_LNC015770)
Source: RNAcentral
UAUAUCCGCAGCUUCGCCCCUCAUCUGCGACGGAAUGUAUCGAAUUAAAAUUAAUUUUUUAUAGUAGUGUCCCUUAUGUAGAUCGCAUGUAGACCGCUUGUCAAUUGGUGUGAAACAACGUACCGCUGUACUCAAAAAACUUAAUCGUAGCGAAUUAAAAUUAAUUUUAUAGUAGUGUAGUUUAUGUAGAUGGCAUGUAGACCUAUUGUAAAUUGGUGUGAAACAAUUGUUGUACUCUAAAAAUUUAAACUGCUAGAGAAUGAUAUUUAUAUAUUUUUAUAUUUAAAACUUCUCCUCAUGUCGGGACUCGAGACUUUUUUAGUCGGUCCAUGACGUGGGCUUGAAUUAAAUGAGAGGAAAUUAAUACGUUAAGAGUCUAACGUAAUUCAAAUUCAGAACCUCCUACUCUGAUAUCAUAUGAAACAACAGUUGAACUUUAAAAACUUAAGUUGUUAGAGAACGAUAUUUAAAUAUUUUUUAUAUUUAACAAUUGGGUUGUUAAUGAGCUGGG